UCAGAACGAACGCUGGCGGCAGGCUUAACASAUGCAAGKCGAACGCCCCGCAAGGGGAGUGGCAGACGGGUGAGUAACGCGUGGGAAUCUACCGUACCCUACGGAAUAACGCAUGGAAACGUGUGCUAAUACCGUAUACGCCCUUCGGGGGAAAGAUUUAUCGGGGUAUGAUGAGCCCGCGUUGGAUUAGCUAGUUGGUGGGGUAAAGGCCUACCAAGGCGACGAUCCAUAGCUGGUCUGAGAGGAUGAUCAGCCACAUUGGGACUGAGACACGGCCCAAACUCCUACGGGAGGCAGCAGUGGGGAAUAUUGGACAAUGGGCGCAAGCCUGAUCCAGCCAUGCCGCGUGAGUGAUGAAGGCCCUAGGGUUGUAAAGCUCUUUCACCGGUGAAGAUAAUGACGG
Molecule: ribosomal RNA, 403 nt
Filed under: uncultured bacterium
Lineage: Bacteria
Description: bacterial SSU rRNA
Rfam family: Bacterial small subunit ribosomal RNA
Source: RNAcentral